AUUGAACGCUGGCGGCAGGCUUAACACAUGCAAGUCGAGCGGAGAUGAGGUGCUUGCACCUUAUCUUAGCGGCGGACGGGUGAGUAAUGCUUAGGAAUCUGCCUAUUAGUGGGGGACAACAUUCCGAAAGGAAUGCUAAUACCGCAUACGUCCUACGGGAGAAAGCAGGGGAUCUUCGGACCUUGCGCUAAUAGAUGAGCCUAAGUCGGAUUAGCUAGUUGGUGGGGUAGAGGCCUACCAAGGCGACGAUCUGUAGCGGGUCUGUGAGGAUGAGCCGCCACACUGGGACUGAGACACGGCCCAGACUCCGACGGGAGGCAGCAGUGGGGAAUAUUGGACAAUGGGGGAAACCCUGAUCCAGCCAUGCCGCGUGUGUGAAGAAGGCCUUAUGGGUGUAAAGCACUUUAAGCGAGGAGGAGGCUACUGAGACUAAUACUCUUGGAUAGUGGACGUUACUCGCAGAAUAAGCACCGGCUAACUCUGUGCCAGCAGCCGCGGUAA
RNAcentral lists this ribosomal RNA (501 nucleotides) under uncultured bacterium. RNAcentral describes it as "partial 16S ribosomal RNA". It matches the Rfam family "Bacterial small subunit ribosomal RNA", at positions 30 to 523 of the family's 1533-position model. The record is from RNAcentral.